AGUGAACGCUGGCGGUAGGCCUAACACAUGCAAGUCGAACGGCAGCACAGGAGAGCUUGCUCUCUGGGUGGCGAGUGGCGGACGGGUGAGGAAUACAUCGGAAUCUACCUUUUCGUGGGGGAUAACGUAGGGAAACUUACGCUAAUACCGCAUAAGACCUUCGGGUGAAAGCCGGGGACCUUCGGGCCUGGCGCGGAUAG
Molecule: ribosomal RNA, 200 nt
Filed under: uncultured bacterium
Lineage: Bacteria
Description: partial 16S ribosomal RNA
Rfam family: Bacterial small subunit ribosomal RNA
Source: RNAcentral